UGGGGAAUUUUGGACAAUGGGCGAAAGCCUGAUCCAGCAAUGCCGCGUGUGUGAAGAAGGCCUUCGGGUUGUAAAGCACUUUUGUCCGGAAAGAAAUGGCUCUGGUUAAUACCUGGGGUCGAUGACGGUCCCGGAAGAAUAAGGACCGGCUAACUACGUGCCAGCAGCCGCGGUAAUACGUAGGGUCCAAGCGUUAAUCGGAAUUACUGGGCGUAAAGCGUGCGCAGGCGGUUGUGCAAGACCGAUGUGAAAUCACCGAGCUUAACUUGGGAAUUGCAUUGGUGACUGCACGGCUAGAGUGUGUCAGAGGGGGGUAGAAUUCCACGUGUAGCAGUGAAAUGCGUAGAGAUUUGGAGGAAUACCGAUGGCGAAGGCAGCCCCCUGGGAUAACACUGACGCUCAUGCACGAAAGCGUGGGGAGCAAACAGG
This 429-nucleotide ribosomal RNA is filed under the name bacterium. Its description in RNAcentral is "partial 16S ribosomal RNA". It matches the Rfam family "Bacterial small subunit ribosomal RNA", at positions 355 to 776 of the family's 1533-position model. The record is from RNAcentral.